Molecule: ribosomal RNA, 497 nt
Filed under: uncultured bacterium
Lineage: Bacteria
Description: partial 16S ribosomal RNA
Rfam family: Bacterial small subunit ribosomal RNA
Source: RNAcentral
GACGAACGCUGGCGGCGUGCCUAAUACAUGCAAGUUGAGCGCUGAAGGUUGGUACUUGUACCGACUGGAUGAGCAGCGAACGGGUGAGUAACGCGUGGGGAAUCUGCCUUUGAGCGGGGGACAACAUUUGGAAACGAAUGCUAAUACCGCAUAAAAACUUUAAACACAAGUUUUAAGUUUGAAAGAUGCAAUUGCAUCACUCAAAGAUGAUCCCGCGUUGUAUUAGCUAGUUGGUGAGGUAAAGGCUCACCAAGGCGAUGAUACAUAGCCGACCUGAGAGGGUGAGCGGCCACAUUGGGACUGGGACACGGCCCAAACUCCUACGGGAGGCAGCAGUAGGGAAUCUUCGGCAAUGGACGAAAGUCUGACCGAGCAACGCCGCGUGAGUGAAGAAGGUUUUCGGAUCGGAAAACUCUGUUGGUAGAGAAGAACGUUGGUGAGAGUGGAAAGCUCAUCAAGUGACGGUAACUACCCAGAAAGGGACGGCUAACUACGUG